GACGAACCGUCCAAACGUUAUUCGGAAUCACUGGGCUUACAGAGUUCGUAGGCGGUCUGGAAAGUUGGGUGUGAAAUCCCUCGGCUCAACCGAGGAACUGCGCUCAAAACUACCCGACUCGAGGGAGAUAGAGGAAAGCGGAACUGAUGGUGGAGCGGUGAAAUGCGUUGAUAUCAUCAGGAACACCGGUGGCGAAGGCGGCUUUCUGGGUCUUACCUGACGCUGAGGAACGAAAGCUAGGGGAGCGAACGGG
RNAcentral lists this ribosomal RNA (253 nucleotides) under Pirellulaceae bacterium. Its description in RNAcentral is "partial 16S ribosomal RNA". It matches the Rfam family "Bacterial small subunit ribosomal RNA", at positions 524 to 776 of the family's 1533-position model. RNAcentral also lists the same sequence under 2 other names. Lineage: Bacteria; Pseudomonadati; Planctomycetota; Planctomycetia; Pirellulales; Pirellulaceae. The record is from RNAcentral.